Molecule: small RNA, 634 nt
Filed under: Pongo abelii (Sumatran orangutan)
Lineage: Eukaryota; Metazoa; Chordata; Mammalia; Primates; Hominidae
Description: retained intron
Source: RNAcentral
CUUUUACCUCGUUGCACUGCUGAGAGCAAGAUGGGUCACCAGCAGCUGUACUGGAGCCACCCGCGAAAAUUCGGCCAGGGUUCUCGCUCUUGUCGCGUCUGUUCAAACCGGCACGGUCUGAUCCGGAAAUAUGGCCUCAAUAUGUGCCGCCAGUGUUUCCGUCAGUACGCGAAGGAUAUCGGUUUCAUUAAGGUAGGCGUCUGCAGACGUACUCCAUGUUGUUUGGGCAGAGAAGGUUGUGGGGGUUCUUUAUUUUUUCCGCGAAAGACAACGGGACAGAUCUUCCCUGGGGUGGUAAUUCUGAGCGUUCGACCAAGAGCUUUUCCUCCUCUUUUAGUUGGUAGCUGGUGACAGUGUUGAUGGUUUGGGCAAUCAGAUUAACAGAAUGGAGAAGGUGAAGGACUUAGUCUUUCCUACUCCCUUUUUUACCUAGAUAGCUUAGCCAGUUUUAGGUGCCGUGUAUUGUGUUGGGUGAAAUUAUUCACUUUACAGAAGCCACUAAAAUUGUUUUACAUUUAUUUCACUUAUCAAUCUGGUAAGUACCUAGUCUCUCUCUUUUUUUGUUUUUAGAGACAGGGUCUCCGUCUGUCGCCCAGGUUGAAGUGCAGUGGCGUUGUUAUGGCCCACUGCAGCC